GGUGGCUCAGCGGUAGAGUGCUUGCCUCGCAUGCAUGAGGCUCUGGGUUCGAUUCCUCAGUACCA
Molecule: transfer RNA, 65 nt
Filed under: Dipodomys ordii (Ord's kangaroo rat)
Lineage: Eukaryota; Metazoa; Chordata; Mammalia; Rodentia; Heteromyidae
Rfam family: tRNA
About the family: Transfer RNA (tRNA) molecules are approximately 80 nucleotides in length. Their secondary structure includes four short double-helical elements and three loops (D, anti-codon, and T loops). Further hydrogen bonds mediate the characteristic L-shaped molecular structure. tRNAs have two regions of fundamental functional importance: the anti-codon, which is responsible for specific mRNA codon recognition, and the 3' end, to which the tRNAs corresponding amino acid is attached (by aminoacyl-tRNA synthetases). tRNAs cope with the degeneracy of the genetic code in two manners: having more than one tRNA (with a specific anti-codon) for a particular amino acid; and 'wobble' base-pairing, i.e. permitting non-standard base-pairing at the 3rd anti-codon position.
Source: Rfam by way of RNAcentral